RNAcentral lists this ribosomal RNA (329 nucleotides) under uncultured eukaryote. RNAcentral's name for it is "partial 18S ribosomal RNA". It matches the Rfam family "Eukaryotic small subunit ribosomal RNA", at positions 1470 to 1796 of the family's 1831-position model. The record is from RNAcentral.
CCCUUAGAUGUUCUGGGCCGCACGCGCGCUACACUGACGAAUGCAACGAGCUUAUAACCUUGGCCGAAAGGUCUGGGUAAUCUCCAAAUUUCGUCGUGAUGGGGAUAGAUUAUUGCAAUUAUUAAUCUUCAACGAGGAAUGCCUAGUAAGUGCAAGUCAUAAGCUUGCGCUGACUACGUCCCUGCCCUUUGUACACACCGCCCGUCGCUACUACCGAUUGAAUGAUUUAGUGAGGACUUCGGACUGGGACCGAUGCGGCUUUCGGGCUGCGUCGGUAUUCUGGAAAGAUGUCCAAACUGUAUCAUUUAGAGGAAGUAAAAGUCGUAACA